CCUGCCAUGUGUUCAGGCAAUAAAUGGGCUGAGAGAGAGGUGCUUCUAGCAUUCUCCUGAGUAGAAGUAUCCCAGCAAAGACAAUAGCAGGCAAAAUAAGGACUGGCAAAGAGAAGCAACUCAGCUUGUCAGGAUUUCUCGAGUGUGUCCGCAAUGCUGCUCCGCUCAGGCCGCAAAAAGCUGUAUGAAGUGUCUCUCCGUAGAAGGCAGCUUGUUAAGAAGCAAUCUCGGCCAAGAACUGUAAAAACAGCUUCUGGAAAGUCAGUGUUUAGUCUGCGAGAAACACUGAAAUGCUAUAUACUCACUGAAGAUUCAAAAACAGUGCAUUUUGACAUAGAUGAAGAUGGUCAUCAUGAAAUUUCAACCAAGGAUUCACAGUCCCAUGAAGAUAUUGCAUGGUUAAGCGUGUUCACAAGGAAUGAACCAGCAGUAACUGAUUCUAAAAAUUUCGUGAUCCUCACACAGAGAUCAAAGUUUAACGAAUUUGUCCUAUUGUGCAAGGGUAAGAAGCAGCUCUCUCUGAAGGUCUUAAAAGCAUCCUGUUCAGGGCCAGAUUAUCCUUCAGUGGAAAGAUGCAACAUGAAAACAUGCAACCAUGAAGAUCCUGACUUCAAACAGCUGAGUGAAGAUAAUCACUUUUUCAUCAUGCACUACCAAGGGGAUUCAGUGCAGUUCCAAUGCUAUGAAGAUAAAAGUUACUACCUGUAUGUGAAUGACGACUCACUUGAUAUUCGCAAGCCGGAAAACAAAGAACCCAGCGAGGACAAAAAUUUUUACUUCAGGGUGUCAUAUUUACAGGAAAAGUAACUUGUCUGCCUUUCAGUGGCCUAAGUGUCCAUACAACUUCUGUAAUAACCUAACAGAAGAGAAGGAAGGUUGAGAUAAACUAAUUUCCAUUUUGGCUUAAUUUUUACUUUUUUUGUAAUUUCUUGAGUCACCAUUUUGCAUCAGUAACAUCCUUUAUUUCUGUACUUUCAAUAGGAAAAGAGAAAGCCUAAGUUUGAAAAGCAUACUAACUGAUCAGUCUCUUUGUGUCUUACCUGCACAAUUACGAUUUUAAGGAGCUGAAUUCUUCUGGAAGGGGAAAAAUACACGGGGGAUAUUUUGAAGACAGGGGAAAAAGAAGGAAGCAUACAUGGAUAUGAAAUAGAAAGCACAGUUAGUUCUCUGCAUGGUUAUUCUACAGUUGUACAGGGAGCUGCAAAUAAGAUAGACUAAUGGAAAUGGUGCCCUGGGGUGUGUUUGUGAGAUAACAGGUAUGUGCUCUUACACACAAGAAAUUAAAUCUAUUGCCUGUUGUUUGAAGCUUUAGCUCCUCACCAGACAUAAUGUUAACUAAGUGGCAUAUCAGAUUACCUUUUUUACCUGUAUGAGAAGAAAUGCAGGGGAAAAAAAUUUAAAUAUAGCUAUGCAUGCAUGUGGGGUACUUACAUUUUGGCUAAUUAGAAAUUCAGGUGUUCAUUAUUCGCUGCAGCUUUAAUACAGAAUUUGCAGGAUCUCUCAAUCUGGUUUCAAGUUCAUUUUUUUGACAGCUUAGAAAGAAAGUAGUUAAUUAGUAAUUAAUUAUGAGUUUGCUUUGUUUUUAGUCUGAGCUUCUCUAUAUAAAGUCUUAUUUAGAAAUAGAGGAUAUAUAAUUCAAAAUACAGUUUUAGAAGACCCAUACAUUCUGACCUUUAGCUGCUUUCUUUACUGGCAGCUCCACAUUUUCUGUCUGAAAUUAACAUUUUCUUUGUAAUUAUGUAACUCUCUUGAAUAAGGCCAUACUAAAUACUAGACUAUUAGUCAUGGUAAUACAUUAUAUUAAAACUAGUAUUAACCACUACCAUAUGUUGACUGCUAACACUAUGAACAAAUAUGUUCUGUAUUUACAAACUUAGGCAAUCUUUGCUGACAAUUAAGCUUCACUCUUACGAUAAGCUUUAAAACUAUUUUAUGGGUUUGUCUCAAGAGUAGAGGAAUUAAGUUUACCAUGACACACUGACGUGCCUUUGCUAUAAGUCUUUUUUCCGAAACCAUGAUACUGAGAUAAUAACAACUAGCCAUGCUUUUAAAGACCAUCUGACAAAGUACCUCGAGGCAUUUCAAUAUCUAAACAGUACUCAUUCUUUCCAAUUAUCUGUCAUUUAAAUGAGUCUAAUAAUUAACAGAGGUAAUUGCUCAAUGUUUUUUGAAACUGGAGUUUAUAAAGUGUAAUCUGGAUGCAGCACAAAACCCAGUUCUUGCAGUAGAUGAAAAUGAGAACUUCAAGAUUUGUUCCUGAUGAUCAGAUGGAUCUCAAGAUCAGCCAUGAAUUAGACAAAAAUUGAUGAUGUGCAUCACAAGUGACGAGUAACAUGUUUGAGUUCACUCUGCUUUGAGCAGCAGAGCUGACUACAUGAUUUCUGGAGGUAUCUUCCAACCUCAGCUACUCUACAAUAACUGCUGGUGAUUCUAUUCUGUAAAAGGAAUUUAUUGAGGGAAAAAAUUGCUCCUGGGAGGAACAUCAGUAACAUGGAAAUGGGAUAAAAAUACUUUGGGUGAAAAUAAAGCAUUUGUUUGUAUGAAAUUUUCUGUUCAGAAGGACACUGAGCUAAACCCUCAAAUAUGAACCCUAAGUAAUCUCUUUGUUGGUAGAUUAUAUUACUGUAAGAGUUCUACAAUGUCUUCUUAAUUCUGUGUCCAGUGUUUUCAGUACUGCAUUAUCUACUUUUUUAGAGGUAACUGAAAAAUUCAUUCUGACAACAGUAGCUGUACCAUCUGUACUAAAACUACAAAUUUAUCUCCCUAACUCUCAUUGUAUUCAUAUACCUUCACAAGGUAUUACUGGAUAUGUAUCAUGCUCCAAAUGUACUGACUGGGUGGAAACUCAUUGUGUUUUUUCCACUUAUUCCACAUCUUGGAACUGUAAAUAAGCAAAAUGGUUGAAGUUGUGGUACUGUAAACAGGGACACAGUCUGCAUUGGUAUAGCCUGCAAUAACACUUCACAAUCCCAUAGUGCUUUAUGAGUCAAAAUUUUGUAAAAUAUUAACAUGCAAUAAAGGUGAAUACAAAUUUUAUUGUGUAUAUUUUAAAUAGAGGAAACUAGAGACAGAAAAAUGACCUAGCCAAGACAAGGCAACAGCAAAUGGCAAAGCGAGAAUUCUAACUCAUGAUUCCCAGUCCUACACACAUUCCUCUGGUAUUGUUCUAGUGCAGAAUUGCAGCUUUGUGGUAUGUCUGACCUCCACACACAUUCUCACAGCUAAAUAAUAAGAUUCUAAUAGAUUUUCUGUAACUAUCAGAGUAUGAACAUUUUAGAAUAUGGAAUUCAAAGCAAAAGAAAGUGUCUUGCAAAUGUAUCAAUCAGGAUUGAUUUUGACCUUUUAGUAUUGAAUUGCUUUUUUCAAAACUGAAAUGAAAGUGAUUUCACAUGGUUUUUAUUCUAAGGAAAUGUAACUGGUUACUGACAGGAAGCUAGAAAGCACUUCAACCUGAAUAUUUUUUGGAACUUAGUUUUAACAGAUGAGAUGAUCUACAAUGUUUAGGUGUACGUGUACUAUAUAAAUCUCAAUAAAUUUAACAAGUUUUAACUGUG
This is an RNA transcript of Aquila chrysaetos chrysaetos, 3554 nucleotides long. RefSeq lists it as uncharacterized. The transcript has 8 exons. Lineage: Eukaryota; Metazoa; Chordata; Aves; Accipitriformes; Accipitridae. The record is from RefSeq and is a predicted model, not a curated record.